This 292-nucleotide ribosomal RNA is filed under the name uncultured bacterium. Its description in RNAcentral is "partial 16S ribosomal RNA". It matches the Rfam family "Bacterial small subunit ribosomal RNA", at positions 505 to 796 of the family's 1533-position model. The record is from RNAcentral.
GUGCCAGCCGCCGCGGUAAUACGAAGGGUGCAAGCGUUAGUCGGAAUUACUGGGCGUAAAGCGUGCGUAGGCGGUUUUCUAAGUCUGCCGUGAAAGCCCCGGGCUCAACCUGGGAAUGGCGGUGGAUACUGGAAAGCUGGAGUGCGGUAGAGGAGGGUGGAAUUCCCGGUGUAGCGGUGAAAUGCGUAGAGAUCGGGAGGAACAUCAGUGGCGAAGGCGGCCCUCUGGACCAGCACUGACGCUGAGGCACGAAAGCGUGGGGAGCAAACAGGAUUAGAUACCCUCGUAGUCC